GACGAACGCUGGCGGCGUGCUUAACACAUGCAAGUCGAACGGAAAGGCCCUGCUUUUGUGGGGUGCUCGAGUGGCGAAUGGGUGAGUAACACGUGAGUAACCUGCCCUUGACUUUGGGAUAACUUCAGGAAACUGGGGCUAAUACCGGAUAGGAGCUCCUGCUGCAUGGUGGGGGUUGGAAAGUUUCGGCGGUUGGGGAUGGACUCGCGGCUUAUCAGCUUGUUGGUGGGGUAGUGGCUUACCAAGGCUUUGACGGGUAGCCGGCCUGAGAGGGUGACCGGCCACAUUGGGGCUGAGAUACGGCCCAGACUCCUACGGGAGGCAGCAGUGGGGAAUAUUGCACAAUGGGCGGAAGCCUGAUGCAGCAACGCCGCGUGCGGGAUGACGGCCUUCGGGUUGUAAACCGCUUUCGCCUGUGACGAAGCGUGAGUGACGGUAAUGGGUAAAGAAGCACCGGCUAACUACGUG
Molecule: ribosomal RNA, 468 nt
Filed under: uncultured bacterium
Lineage: Bacteria
Description: partial 16S ribosomal RNA
Rfam family: Bacterial small subunit ribosomal RNA
Source: RNAcentral